Molecule: ribosomal RNA, 279 nt
Filed under: uncultured bacterium
Lineage: Bacteria
Description: partial 16S ribosomal RNA
Rfam family: Bacterial small subunit ribosomal RNA
Source: RNAcentral
UGCCAGCAGCCGCGGUAAUACGUAGGGGGCAAGCGUUGUCCGGAUUUACUGGGUGUAAAGGGCGCGCAGGCGGUCUUGUCCGUCAGGUGUGAAAGCUCGGGGCUCAACCCCGGAAGUGCACUUGAAACAGCAAGACUUGAAUACGGUAGAGGAGAGAGGAAUUCCUGGUGUAGAGGUGAAAUUCGUAGAUAUCAGGAGGAACACCGAUGGCGAAGGCAUCUCUCUGGGCCGAUAUUGACGCUGAGGCGCGAAGGCGUGGGUAGCGAACGGGAUUAGAUA